GCGGGAUUGGGCGAAACAGUGGACAGAUUACAUGUCUGCCGUUCGAGACUCCGUGUUCGAACAGAGAUCAGUAUGUGUUCUGGGAUGCUUUCCAUCCAACAGCUGCUGUGAAUGUCAUAUUGGCAAGGAGAGCUUUCAGUGGAAGCACUGAUGUGGUGUUUCCCAUGAAUGUAGAACAGCUUGCUUUGCUGGAGGAGAAACCCAAUUAGGAACGAGGAGUUGAUGG
This 226-nucleotide unclassified non-coding RNA is filed under the name Hevea brasiliensis (rubber tree). The record is from RNAcentral. Lineage: Eukaryota; Viridiplantae; Streptophyta; Magnoliopsida; Malpighiales; Euphorbiaceae.